This 292-nucleotide ribosomal RNA is filed under the name uncultured prokaryote. RNAcentral describes it as "partial 16S ribosomal RNA". The record is from RNAcentral.
CCCUAUGGGGUGCACCAGGCUGAGGAUCCAUAAGCAACACCGGGAAGUGUGAUUGUUGUCUGUUCAGUAAAAGUAUUAUCUCCGUUGUUUUUAUAAAUCUGUGACAUAUUUGUUCCGCCAACCAUCUGUCCUGAAGACAGAAUAUCAAGAUAACCAUCAUUAUUAUAAUCUCCCCAGUUCACUGAGCCCGUAGUCAGCCCUGUCAUGGCGAUUCCUGAAAGGACCGUGAAAAUUCCUGAGCUGAAAACUCCUAUGUUAUCAUUAUCCGGAUUAGUCUCAGUAGCAUAGAUCU